RNAcentral lists this ribosomal RNA (537 nucleotides) under uncultured bacterium. Its description in RNAcentral is "bacterial SSU rRNA". It matches the Rfam family "Bacterial small subunit ribosomal RNA", at positions 335 to 865 of the family's 1533-position model. The record is from RNAcentral.
ACUCCUACGGGAGGCAGCAGUGGGGAAUUUUGGACAAUGGGGGCAACCCUGAUCCAGCCAUGCCGCGUGCGGGAAGAAGGCCUUCGGGUUGUAAACCGCUUUUGGCAGGAACGAAACGGUGCGGGCGAAUACCCUGUGCUAAUGACGGUACCUGCAGAAUAAGCACCGGCUAACUACGUGCCAGCAGCCGCGGUAAUACGUAGGGUGCGAGCGUUAAUCGGAAUUACUGGGCGUAAAGCGUGCGCAGGCGGUUGUGCAAGACAGGUGUGAAAUCCCCGGGCUUAACCUGGGAACUGCAUUUGUGACUGCACGGCUAGAGUUUGUCAGAGGGGGGUGGAAUUCCACGUGUAGCAGUGAAAUGCGUAGAUAUGUGGAAGAACACCGAUGGCGAAGGCAGCCCCCUGGGAUGAGACUGACGCUCAUGCACGAAAGCGUGGGGAGCAAACAGGAUUAGAUACCCUGGUAGUCCACGCCCUAAACGAUGUCGACUAGUUGUCGGGGGGUAACACCCUUGGUAACGCAGCUAACGCGUGAAGU